Long non-coding RNA from Bombus impatiens (common eastern bumble bee), 525 nucleotides. RefSeq lists it as uncharacterized. The record is from RefSeq and is a predicted model, not a curated record. The transcript has 2 exons. NCBI's taxonomy places the organism in Eukaryota, Metazoa, Arthropoda, Insecta, Hymenoptera, Apidae.
UCUCCACGUGCAAAAAAAAGACCUACUUCCAGUAGAAAUUUUUUGUAUCUUGUUUUAUUUUCUGGCAGAUGGGUACAGUACAUUUUAUAUGCACUGAACAAGGUACAGUUUAUCAGAAAAAAUGCUAAUAUUUUGGACCACUUUAAAGAUUUUCGUAAAAUACUAUUGUUCGCCAAAUACUGAUCUGCACGAUCUACCCCUUUCAUGUGCUUAUUGUAUUAUAAUAUGCACGUAGGGUUAAUGAUAUUUUGACGGCUUAAUAUCAGAUUCACUAUUUUCUGGUACAGUAUCAUUUUCCAAGUCACCACAAUUUGAUUCACAAUCACUCGGACAAUCAGAUAAAACAUCCGCAUAUAAUUCAUUGAAAGAUUCUUCAUUGAUACGUUCCGUCAUCGCUGAAAUUUCUUUUACAACGAAGGACACAACUUGACGAGUCUUAUAAGCGAGAGACACAACUUGAGGUAUGCUGACCAACAAUUGCAUUGUAUGAUCUCCAACAGCGCACUGAGAAAACGACGUCGAUGC